CUGACCUUGCAUUCCCUUCCUCCUCAACGCCAAUGCAUGAUCAACACCGCGUGCUCCCGCGUAGAAACGCCAUACCAGCGGUCACGGCGCCACCUAGGGGCGACAAUUAACAUGCAUGGAGGCCGAGAUUGGUAGGCUUCGGUUGGGGUUGUGUUGCUGAUCAAGCAUUAAGGCAGGCUCCCAGCGGUCACUGGCUUGGCUCCUGUUGGUGUUGCCGACGGACACAUUGCCAGACCUGCUUGCCGAACUGACCGUGAGGAGUGGCGACAGGGUUGCUCUGGUCGUGGGCGACGGCCGAAGUGCGCCCUCUACAGCGAGCUAUGACUGAGUAAACGGCCGUGAGGAGCGGCGACACGAUUGCUGCUCUCGUCAUGGGCUGAGGCCGAAGUGCGCCCCUCUACAGCGAGCUACGUACGUGAAUAAACGGGUUCACGCAAGAUCCGUUUGAACCUUGUGGUCUAGUGUAAAGCUAGUUUGUGUAUAUGGAUGUCUAUUCUACAAGUUUAGGGAUCUAAAUUAUAGUAUUUUCUGUUAAAAUUAACGAUCAACUA
Molecule: long non-coding RNA, 551 nt
Filed under: Zea mays
Lineage: Eukaryota; Viridiplantae; Streptophyta; Magnoliopsida; Poales; Poaceae
Description: long non-coding RNA NONZMAT002790
Source: RNAcentral